Molecule: transfer RNA, 75 nt
Filed under: Deltaproteobacteria bacterium
Lineage: Bacteria; Pseudomonadati; Myxococcota; Myxococcia
Also listed under: 1 other name
Description: tRNA-Thr
Rfam family: tRNA
About the family: Transfer RNA (tRNA) molecules are approximately 80 nucleotides in length. Their secondary structure includes four short double-helical elements and three loops (D, anti-codon, and T loops).
Source: RNAcentral
GCCGGCGUAGCUCAGCGGCAGAGCGGAUGAUUCGUAAUCAUCAGGUCGUGGGUUCAAUCCCCACCGCCGGCUCCA